Molecule: ribosomal RNA, 253 nt
Filed under: uncultured bacterium
Lineage: Bacteria
Description: partial 16S ribosomal RNA
Rfam family: Bacterial small subunit ribosomal RNA
Source: RNAcentral
UACGUAGGGGGCUAGCGUUGUCCGGAUUUAUUGGGCGUAAAGAGCGUGUAGGCGGCCAGGUAGGUCUGCUGUGAAAACUCGAGGCUCAACCUCGAGACGUCGGCGGAAACCAUCUGGCUAGAGUCCGGAAGAGGAGAGUGGAAUUCCUGGUGUAGCGGUGAAAUGCGCAGAUAUCGUAAGGAAGACCAGUGGCGAAGGCGGGUCUUUGGACAGUUCCUGACGCUGAGGCACGAAGGUCAGGGGAGCAAACGGG